UGUUUGUGGUAGUGGGUGGUGAGGUGGAAACAUUUUGGGCCAGCUGUCCAUUUAAAACUGAAGUGCAGGAUUCGCAGCCUUCGCUUUGCGAAUAAAACGUUCGCUGAGCGAACCAUACCAGAAAAAAAAAUUUCUGCUGAAUCCUUUGGCACAGCUUACACCAAACAUGUUCCUACCAUCAAAAUUAUAUUAUGCAUGCUAAAACAUUAAAUUACUUACAAAAUUGGGUUGCCUCCCAACAAGCGCUUGUUUAACGUCAUUAGCUUGACGUUCUUUUUGGAGCUUCAAGGAUCGGAAAGUGGGAUUUUGGUAGUGACACGAUCAAAAUCACCACCAAAAUAUAGUUUCAACCUUUGACCAUUAACAGUCCAUGUGGCAUUGGUAGCUGGAUCUUCCAACACAACUGCACCAUAUGGUU
RNAcentral lists this long non-coding RNA (418 nucleotides) under Trifolium pratense (red clover). RNAcentral's name for it is "long non-coding RNA (TPRA_LNC008281)". The record is from RNAcentral. Lineage: Eukaryota; Viridiplantae; Streptophyta; Magnoliopsida; Fabales; Fabaceae.